This is a non-coding RNA of Vibrio coralliilyticus, 138 nucleotides long. Lineage: Bacteria; Pseudomonadati; Pseudomonadota; Gammaproteobacteria; Vibrionales; Vibrionaceae. The record is from Rfam.
GUAGUUAGCAGAGCCUUCUUAAGUUUACAGGCCGUAAAACUUGUUUUCUUGACUGACGCUACUAAUUUACGCUGCUUUUUCUUAUUAACUCCUAUGUUUUGUAUCAGCCCAGAGCCAGUUUGCUCUGGGCUUUUUUUA